Molecule: ribosomal RNA, 433 nt
Filed under: uncultured bacterium
Lineage: Bacteria
Description: partial 16S ribosomal RNA
Rfam family: Bacterial small subunit ribosomal RNA
Source: RNAcentral
AACGAACGCUGGCGGCAUGCCUAACACAUGCAAGUCGAACGAGACCUUCUGGUCUAGUGGCGCACGGGUGCGUAACGCGUGGGAACCUGCCCUUAGGUUCGGAAUAACUCCCCGAAAGGGGUGCUAAUACCGGAUAAUGUCUUCGGACCAAAGAUUUAUCGCCUUUGGAUGGGCCCGCGUUGGAUUAGCUAGUUGGUAGGGUAAAAGCCUACCAAGGCGACGAUCCAUAGCUGGUCUGAGAGGAUGAUCAGCCACACUGGGACUGAGACACGGCCCAGACUCCUACGGGAGGAAGCAGUGGGGAAUAUUGGACAAGGGGCGAAAGCCUGAUCCAGCAAUGCCGCGUGAGUGAUGAAGGCCUUAGGGUUGUAAAGCUCUUUUACCAGGGAUGAUAAUGACAGUACCGGGAGAAUAAGCGCCGGCUAACUCCGUG